UACAAAGAAGUUCUAAAAGACUACAAGAAAGAGUUUCCACUAAAGAAAAACAAUGAAACCAUUUCUACUAAAGACAAACAAUGAAACCACAGAUGCUUUGUGAAAUAUGUACCCGCACAAUCCAACAAACUUUAGAAAUUCACAAACACUACCUAGAAUUUUUGCUGACCAGCAAAAAAUUUAUGCAAUUUAAUUCUUAUUGUUAUUAUUAUUUUCAAUGUGAACAAAUAUGAUUGAAUUAUGAAGUAUUUGGCCAGAAGAGGAUCUUGCCUAAUUAUAGUCAUUAAACAACCAUUUAUACCAUAGCCUCUAGACUUUAAAAAGUUUAUAAAACUCAAGGGCUUCCACCCAAUUUCUAGAUAUCUCCAUAACAUUCUUCUGACUAUUAGAAAGCAAUUACCACUUUAAUUUUUCAUUUCAUGAGUGUUCAAUUCAGAAAAAGACCAGGAUCGAACUUGCGAUCAUGCAGUCGAAAAUCCACCUGUGCAUGAAACUAUUGCCUCACGAUUGCAAACUCAAGUUGGAGUCCAGUAACAACUCUAGGUUUGCUGAUGUGCUCCAUUUGAAAUAAAGGAACUAAAGAAUACUUUAUAAAGAUUAAUUACCUUCAUAUUUUAGGUUGGGGUUAAGGCAAAAUGUGAUAGAUUGAGAGGAAGAAAAUAUAUCUUGUUCAGGAAGCCAAUAUUUUGGAGUUCACCUUUCCAUUCGAGUCCACUCUGCUAUAGCAAAAUCAGAGUCACAACUAUGCCUCUUUAAGCUAUCCUUUAAUUGGAUGAAUUGCAGAUUUGGUUGCUGAGAAAGUGGAUAAGAAAGAAAAAUGCAUACUGUAGCUUGAGAUUAAGAGUUUGUUUUCUAAAAUGAGAGAAAGGGAAAGAGAAAAAAUGCAUAUUGUAGCUUGAGAUUAAGGGUUUGUUUUCUAAAAUGAGAGAAAGGGGAAGAGAAAUGUUCGACAACUUUGAGAUGACAAAUUUUUAGAUUUGGAAAAUUUGAGAUGAGUCUCAGGUUUUUUUUUUUUUUUUUUUGUCUUUGUCUUUGUUUUUUUUUUUUUUUUUUGUUUUUUUCCCAAAAACAACCUGUUAAUGUGGUUGUUGACAUAGAAGUGGGUGAGGGCAAAAUGGGCAUAGAAAAAAGAGUCAACACAAAGUGCACAAAACCCAUAUUAUUUUCCACAUUAAUGACUGAUUCUCAUAUUUCUUGUUCUUGGGAUUUGAAAACCAUAUUAUUUGCAAAUGGACCUCCCAAAGCACAGGUUUCCCUUAGUUUUAUGUCUCCAUCUACAUUUUACAUAUAAAUAGAUUAUUUUAUAAAAUUUGUUUUGUAGAUAUAUUAGUUAAUAAUUAUAUAAUUAAUGAUAUAGAAAACAUAUAAAAAUCAUAUUUAAAAAAGAUAAUUACAUAUUCCUCAACAAUCCAUCCCAAGAAUUCGAGGUUGAGUUGAAAACAUGUAGAGUCUUUGAUGUUAUUAUAAUCAUAUCCAACACAUAUGAUUAUUGUUUAUGAGAUAUUAUUAGAAAGUUUGUCUUAAAAUAAUUGAUUUAUUACCCACCUUUAGCAAAUGCCCAUUUUUGCGUCUUUCAAAAUUUUCAUUUUUUUUUUGUUUAAAAGAAGUAUUGUAAAGAAUGAUGAAAUAAGAAAUUUGUUGAGAAAGUGUGAGUAAAUAAUUUUACAUAAAAAGAGAUUUAAUACUUGAUAAAUAAAAUAAUAAAAUCAUGAUUUCUAGUUGUAUAGGGCCGGGUGGAUGGAGUGGCUAAGAUGUAAUUCUUGAAAUAGAGGAGACAACAUCAAUGUAUAAAAGUUUAACAGAGAAGGAAAGUGUGUUUGAAUGACUUUAUUUUCUUCAUUUAAAGUUUUGACGAUGAGUGUUUAUACAAGAUAAAUUUUCAAAUGAUAGGACUCCUAUUUACAUGGAGUUUGUGAUAUACUAUGAUUAUACAAAUUUAAAAUUCAAACAGAUUCAUGAGUUGAUAGGAGUCUGCUCAAUACGCCCCUUCAAAAUGGUGGGAGAUAGCACACCAAUCUUGACUCGAAGGGCCUAAACUCGUGCAGAAGAUGAGGGCUUUGUUAGAGCAUCGACAAGUUGAUCCGUGGUUGACAUAUGGGACACCUUGAGCUCACCUGAUUAAACCUUGUUUCAAACAAAAUGAAAAUCAAUCGCCGAUGUGUUUCAUGGAGAGUGAAACAUGGGAUUUGCACAAAGAUAUGUUGCACCCACGUUAUCACAAGAGAUAGGAGGUGGUGAUAAAUUUGAAACACUAAGUUUUGAGAGAAGAGAAUUAACCCAAAGAACCUUUGAGGCUGUAGAGGCCACGACGUGAUAUUUCGCUUCAGUGGAAGAGCGUGCUAUGAACUUUUGUUUCCUCGAUGACCAAUACACAAGAUUGUGACCAAGAAAAACAAUGGGAGCAUUGGUGGAGGAUCUGACAUAAGGAUUCCUUGCCCAUUCAACAUUCGAAUAUGCAUGUAGAUUGAUGGGCGAUUUCUUAUGCAAGAACAGACCAUGCACCAUUGUGCCGACUAAGUAUCUAAGCAAUCUUUUAACACAAGACCAAUGUGUUGAUGUUGGAUGGUGCAUAAAUUGAGAUAAUUUAUUCAUCAAGAAGGUGAUGUCAGGGCUAGUAAGAGAGAAGUAUUGAAGGCUUCCAACAAUUGACAUAUAUUUAGUGGGACCAGGAAAAGAGGUGUCAUCACACAGAUUUGGAACAUUGUUGAGGAACAUCAAUGAUUGAACUGGUUUGGUAGCCACCAUUUGUGUUUUCUUAAGAAGCUCUCGAAUGUACUUGAGAUAAAAAUAAUCCUUUGGAAGUAUGUAUCAUUUCAACACCAAGAAUAAAAGAUGAAGUCCUGAGAUCCUUAAUGGAGAAUUUGACUGCUAAUUGAGAGAUCACGCGAGCACGAAAAACAUUAUUGUUACUUGUUAAAAUAAGAUCAUCAAUAUAAAUAAGUAGGUAAACAAUGAGACCACUCUUUUUAAAAAUGAAGAGGGAUGUCUCGGUUUAGGAGUUGACGAAGGCUAUUGAGAGGAGAAAUUGGCAAAGUUCAUGAUACCAUGAUCGUGGAGCUUGUUUAAAGCCAUAAAAAGCCUUACAAAGUUGGCAAAUGUGAUGAUGUGUGUAUUCGUGAACCCAGGAGGUUGAAUCAUGUAAACAUCUUCAUGAAGUGUCCUAUGCUAGAAUGCAUUAUUAAUGUCCAAUUCAUGAGUUGAUAGGAGUCUGCUCAAUACAAUGUGGGAGUGUGAUUUCAAAAUUAGGGUAAUUUCGAAAUGGAUUUUGUAUUCACAAGUUGAAUUUCAAAAUUAUUUUGAAAUGGUCUUUUAACUUUAAGCAGUUGUGUUCAAAAGGUCAUAACUUCUUCGUUUCAAUUUUGAUUUACACAUUGUUUAAAACAUUGGACUCUUUACUUCCCGAGCUUCAAAACGAUAUAUAGUAUGCUCAAAAAUGACAUCAGGAUUGGUUCAAAUUUCAUCUUGAUAUUAGAGUACAUGUUGUGAUUAGAUUUUGAGUUCCAAAUUUCCAUGUAAACUUGAUUGCAUUUGCUUCAAACCUCCUUCAUUAUGGUUGCUUGCCCUCUAUCUCACUUUGCAACAUUUGUUACUAGUAUUUUAUGUCCAUGACUUACUCAUUUCAACCUUUCUUGGAUUCUUCAUGGUUCACAAAUUAUGGAUUCUUCAUGGUUCACAAAUUGAGUCUUUCAAUUAUGCAUGUUUAACUCCUAUUUCCUUGGUUGAUAAUGACUUUUACACUUAUCAUUUUCUUUUAUUCUUUAAACCUGAAUUUAGACUUACAAAAAAAAGUUAGAUCCAUAACUAGGGUCUUAGCAUCAAUUUGAGUUAAGUUGGAUGAUUUGAAAAUUUUAUAUUACAUAAAUCAUAUCAUACAUGUGCCAUUGGAGUGCACAUUUUGGCUCUAAUCAUGUUCCAACCCAUUGUUUUACUCUUGCAUGAAGUAUGUGGCCAUUGAUUUUAAUUUUAUUUGCGAUUAGGUUCAAAAUGGUGCUUUUGUGUUGCUCAUGUGUCAUCAGAAGAUCAACUAAUGGAUUCUCUAACAAAACUACUACAUCAUAGUCAUUUUUUUUUUUCUUAAGACCAAGAUUGAGAUCUCCAAUCGGAGCCAACUCCAUCUUGGGGGCAUGUUAGUGAAAGAUAAAAUUUAUCUUUAAUUUAAAUAUUAAUAUUUAUCAGUUAUUAGUUUUAAUUAGAGUAAAAGAUAGAGUUUAAAUUGGAGUAGGAGAUAAACUUGUGUUUGAACUAGAAUAGAAGAUAAAGUAUAAAGAUUUAUGUUUGAAUUAGAAUAAAAUAUAAAGUUUGAAUUAGAGUAGAAGAUAAACUUGUUCUUUAUUUGUAUAUAAAUAUUCAUCAAUUCUUGAGAAGAAGAUUAUUUCAUAGUUUUUCUAUCUUCUUUUUUCUUCAUACAUAUCUGCAAGAAAUUGAAGAUUUCAAGUAAAAUAUUUUCUGUUUUAAAUAGUGAAAAAAGCUAGAAAUUCACUUUGUUAUCUCUUGGGGUAAAUUGACAAGGUUUAACGUUAAGAAGGUGAAUUAUUUUUUCAGAAAAACUGAAGUAGCUAGGAUAUCUGGCCAGUUGUGAUCGAUAAAAAAGUUGUAAAAUCUCUCAUAUACUAAACAGGUUUUGGAUGUUGGUAUGGUAAAUCCAUCUGCAGUCAUUCGUCAUCUCAUCUAGUGAGAUGUUUGGGAGGUGGUGACCGCCGGAUUGGGUUUCAUUUGGUUAAAUCUGUCAGUGGGUUGGCUACUACCCGAGCCUCUUGCUUUGGGGGAGGUGGGUUCUAGAUAUAAUGUUCAAACCAUUUUAGUUAUCAUAUGCAUGACAUGUAAGCAUAAUCUCUUUAUCACUUCUUCAAUGGGAGUUCAUGGUUAGGAAUUGACUUCUUUUCUUCUGGGAUGCUUGGCAUGUAAUGGACAAAGUUACUUUUAUAUCGAUCGAAUUUCUAGUAUUAUAGUGAAGACUUACCCUUUUGACAUUUUAUAUCGAAUUAUAGAAGAUGAAAGGGACAUACAUGCAAUCGACUGACGCUUUAGUGAAUAUGCUGAAAAUAUGCUGAUGCUGUGGAGAUCGUAUGAGGACAGAGGAAAAAGAUAGAAAUGGAUAUAUAAUUAGACCUAGGUUUUUAUUAAAUGAGAUGGGGAACAUAGAGUGAGGGAAAAUCAAAAUUUUUGGCUGCAGUUCACAUUGGUGAUAUUUUGGAUUGACAAAGACUAACGACUUUUCUAUUUUUCUUUUCGGCCUGACUGGAUAGUUGGACAUGGACAAUACAGAAUCCACAGAAGGAUUGUUGGGACCGCUGAAAAUUAGCUAGAAGAAGCUGAGGAAGUAGUCUACGUAGUCAAAUACCAAACACAAAGAAAGAAAGAAAUGGAUAUCAUGGAUGCCUAGAGUUAUACUCCUAAUACCGUCACAGGUAUUUUUCUUUCCUCCUUUUUUUUUCUACGAUAAUUAGAGCAUUUCUCCUCCUCCUCCUCCUCCUCCCCCCACCCCACCACCAAAAAAUAAAAAAAUAAAUUAUUGCAAGUAACACUUCAAAUAUUAAUUUAUACAUUCUAAAGUAUAUAUUCAUGAAAUAACUUGAGUAUCAUACAUUAGUUCUCAAAAAAAAAAAAAAAAAAAAAAAAAAAUUACUGGAAGAGAAAAGUUUAAGAAAACAUAAAAAUAUUCAACUACUAUUUUAAAGAGAAAAUUUAAUUUUUACACUAUAAAUUUGAAGAGAACUUUUACAUGCAUCUUAUAUAAACUACCAUUUUUUGCUAAAAGGCUUAAAUUUGUCAAAAAUACCCCUUAGGUGCUUAACGUUCUGGUCAUAAUAUAAUUGGCAUCUUUUCUCAAACAUAAGGCCUGUGUGUGGGAACAAGAUUUAAUGUUAAUGAGCUUCGCCACCGACAUUUAGUUCCAGAAAUCAUUAUUUUAAUAGAGUGGGCUCAAUUUACAACUUUAAUUAAACUCUAACCAACUGCAUUGUGAAAUGAAUAUGUUUCUUUCGUGGUGAAUCCAAUGAGUUGGGAGUCAAACUUUGCUUCAUUGUGUAUAGAUGAAAUGUUAAGACUCCAUGUAACCUCAAACAUUUCCGCAAUNNNNNNNNNNNNNNNNNNNNNNNNNNNNNNNNNNNNNNNNNNNNNNNNNNNNNNNNNNNNNNNNNNNNNNNNNNNNNNNNNNNNNNNNNNNNNNNNNNNNUUCUUUCGUGGUGAAUCCAAUGAGUUGGAGUCAAACUUGCUUCAUUGUGUAUAGAUGAAAUGUUAAGACUCCAUGUAACUCAAACAUUUCCGCAAUGAGCGGGAGUUCUAAAUUUAAUAAUUGAAAUUGUCAGUGGAACCAGUGGACAAGAGUUGGUUUGUGGUUGACAAACUUAUCCGUUUGAUCUUUACUUGAACAGUUCCAGUGUGUGGAUGGGUACUGAUGAAGUGUGCGCAUUUAUUUUGAGAAGCCUGCUUGUUCGCAUAGAUUUUAACGACAUGAACAUUGUGGUAAGGUUAGAGAGUAAUGCGAAUGUAGGAGCUUAUAUUAGAAAUGACACAAACACGUAAAUAGAAGUAAUCUAUAUAUGAUAUUACUCAUGGACUACAAGCAAAGAAGUACAAUACAUGGAGUAAGUGAUGAAAUGAGCAUUCCUCACUACUACUGCUUGACUGAUGGAACAUGAUGCACGAGAUAGCAUAAGUAGUAGUAGGAAGCAGCUCUUAUUUGUGGCGUCGGUAUACAUCAUACUAGGUAGAUGGUUCAAUUGGCAUGGAUGGGUGGUGGAGCCUUGAAGUGCUUGUGAUGGGGAGCCCACGGCUUCUUCUCAGGAGUUGGUGGCUUCUUGUAUGGAGUUGAUGGAGGUGUUUCUACUGGAGGGUGGCCAGGGUAGUGACCCUGGGGUGGUGAAGGUUCUUUUGUCGGUGGUGGCCUCACUAUUAUUGGCGGUAGAGUUGGUGGCUUGGGCGUUGGCGGUGGUCUCACUACUCUUGGGGGUAGAGUUGGUGUCUUGUGUUUUGGUGGUGGAGGUGGCUUAACAGGAGUUGGUGGCUUGUAUUCUGGGGGUGGUUUCUCCACCGGAGGUGGCUUAUAAACUGGAGUUGGUGGCUUGUAUUCUGGGGGUGGCUUCUCCACUGGUGGUGGCCUGUAAACAGGGGUUGGUGGCUUAUAUUCUGGGGGAGGCUUCUCCACUGGAGGCGACUUAUAAACAGGGGUUGGUGGCUUGUAUUCCGGGGGUGGCUUCUCUACGGGAGGUGGCCUGUAAACAGGGGUUGGUGGCUUCUCCACCGGAGGUGGCUUAUAAACGGGGGUUGGUGGCUUGUAUUCUGGGGGUGGUUUCCCCAGUGGUGGAGACUUGUAAACAGGAAGAGGUGGUUUGUGCUCAUAUGGGGGUGGCUUGUGGUCAUUAGCAAGUGAGGGAGUGGUGAGGACCACCAAUCCAAGGAACAACACGAGUGAGCAAGCAGAAGACAUGUUUGGGCUCUGGUGAUGCACAAGUAGAAGAAAUGGGAACCAUUUAUAAUGCUUCGAGACCUUGGUUAGCACCAAAAUAUGUCAAAAUCUUGAUUACUUCAUUUCAUACAUAGAUUUAAAAUUAUUUCAAUCAACCAUGAUCCUUAAUUUUCUGGGUGGUCCAUAAAUGUAAUGGGGUCAAUUUGGGACCUAACAAGCUGAGAAGUUUGACAAUGCUGCAAGGCUUCAUCCGAAAGUCCGGGGAAGAAUAUUAGGAGUUACACUCCGUUUCCUUUUUUGGGUGCAUUUUUCUCCUUUAACAUUCUAUUCCCUUUUACAUUAGCAUUUGAUCUUAGCUCAUUUCAAGUACAAGUUUCUUGAACCCUAUACCAUUGUCAAAGUUGAGUAACCAUCUCUACUUUGCUCAAGAAACAUAAAAGACAAUGACAAUAAAGAAAAAGGAGAGAGACCAUACGUGACUUGGUUUAUAGGUGGCUUUGUGUUGACAUUUGAGUAUGGAAGCCGACAUGCAUCUUAGCUUCGAUUUUAAUUAAAUUUGUACAUUAGUGUCUGUGUCAUUCAUUUUGGUAUAAAAGGUCUCUUGAUUUCGUAAGUUUGGUAAGAACCGUUGAAAAUAGCAGUAGCAGCACAUGGUCCACUUUCUUUCACAAAAUAAUUUUAAAAGUUUAGAAGCAUAGGAGGUAACAUUAGUGGCCUUGUGGCUCAGCCACGAGUACUAUGUGGUGCUCGAGAAAUUGAGUUUAAUUUCCUUCCGAUAGUUCAUGAUAAGGUCCGUCACUGUCCUGAGACAGAUUGCGUUUUUUCUUUUUUCCUUUUUUAGUGUUUUAUUGACUAGCUAGGUGUGACUUUUCCUACUUUAAGGCACGAGGCAGAAAAGAAACUGGGAUUUAGUGCUUAAGAAGGCAAAUUUAAUUCGAUUUGGAUCUAAAAUUUGCCAGCAACAUGAGAUUUUCCAGCCUAUCGUUGCUCCACAUAUAGACAAGGCACUUGUAGAAGUGGCUUGUUUGUAGCCAUUCCCGAUAUUUGGACUCACUUGAUUCACCGGACACUUUGAUAAAAUUUAAUAUUUAUUAUUUAAUAAUUUAAAUUGAUUUAAAAUUAAAUUAUACCGAAGUUGUGAUUUAAAAAUUAUUAUUUAAUUCUUACUUUUAAAUAUGAAGAUUAUUUGAUAAAAAUAAUUUAAAAUUUAUUAUAAAUUAUCAAAUUAACAUAUUUAUCCUUAUAAAUUAUAAUUAAAACAGAAAAGGUCAAAUGAUUUGAGUAUCCAUAGAUGUGGUAAAAUAAUAAAAAAGAUUAUAAAAACAAUUAUGAUAAAUAAAGAUAAAAAGUAAAAUGAAUAUGUGAAUUUAAAGAAUAAAUUAAUUAUUUUUAUUUAUUACUUAAAAUUAUUUUUGACUUUAAAUUAUAUUAUUAAAUUAUUUUACCAAACAUACUUAAUUUAGUUAAUAAUUUAAAUUUAAUUUAAGUUAUUAAAUUGAUUCACCAAAUACCCACUUAAUCAAAGACUGAAGUAUACAUUAUUUGGCCAAAUGCAGCUAUUGAAAUUUAACUUUUUCCAAACUUAUUCAUUUUGUGGAAAUAUUUUUAGAAAUGAUUUUAAAAAUGCACUAUUCUGUGUGUUGAUUUUAUAUUUUGGCAUUAAUCCAACAUAGAAAACGGUUCUUAUUUUCGCUGUUAAAUAGGUACCAGAUCCUUAAUUAGUGCCGUGAAUCCGGCAGCUUCCAAUGAGUAAUUUGGACUUGGGUAUUGACAAUGUGUGGCCAUGCUUCUACUAUUUUAUUAUUCUUGAAACAUAUAUGAUAUAUUGGACUUUAUACAGGGAAAAAAAAAAAAAAAAGUCUUCACCAAAAAUGAUUCCUCCUAAAAAAUAGACUCCACAAACUAGGUUUAACAGGAAAAUGAUUCUAAUCUAGUAGUUUCCAGCCACAUGAGCAUUUACGUAACAAUAGUAUAGUUGAUAACGACUUUUAUUUUAUUUAUUUUUAAAUAGUUAAAGGGAUAAUUUUUGAGCUUAAAUUUUAUUUUUUUAUUUAGAAACAUUUUACUUUAUUUUUUAAUCAUAAUUCUAUUAUAUUAAUGUUUUAUUUUCUAUUUUUUAAUAUAUAAGGAGAUACUAAAUUUAUGUGAUUAUUUUUUAAAAAUUUAGUAUAUGAAAUUAAAUAAUUGGAUAUAUAUACAUAUAUCAUAUAAUGUUUUUUAAGUGUGAUUUUUGAACUUUUUAGUCAUUUUAUAAGUUUAAGCUUUUGAUUUUUUUUUUUAAACUUUGGUAUUUUUUAUUUUAUAUAAAACUAUUUUGAUUUAAUUUUAUUAAAAAAUAUUGGUAUUAUAAAUUAUUGUAUUAAUUAUUUUUUUAUAUUAUAAUGUAACUGGUAUAUACUAAAAAAUGUAUGCAAGUUCAAUUUAAGUUUCAAAUUAAAAAAUUUCAUUUAAAUAUUUAAUAACUUGUUCAUAAUAAAAAAUUAAACAACAUAAUACAAAUGAAAAGAAACAUAAAAGAAAAAGGAAAAAAUGGUCCUCUCUGUGUGUCACAUUACUAGGUCAUCCUCUUUUUCUAUGACCCUUACAAUAGAAUGGCAUAUUUGUCAAAUCUACUUAUGAAAGUUGGAAUGUUUCUACAUGUGUAGGGUCCAUUGGAACUAAUGGAGGAAAGGCUUAACGUCUAUGUAAAUCACAACGUUGCCUAGGUGGGCAUAGAUCUAGUUGUGUAACAUGAGAUGGUGUGAGAGUACAAUAUAUGCAUUGUAGUCUCUAUGGGAAGAGAGAUAGGUAAUGGUAGGGUGGUAGACGGUAGGGUGAUCUCUAAUAUAAUGACAUUUGAUGUGGUGGCUUCUAAGAGAGGAGAUAUAAGAGAUGGUAGAAUGACAUUUGGUGUAAUGGUCUCUAGUGCAAUGACAUGUGAUAUGGUGACCUAUAAAGAAGAGAUAUAGGUGAUGGUGAAGUGGUAUGUGGUGUAGUGACCUUUGAGAUAGAAAAUAGAGGUAAUGGUAGGUUGGCAGGUGGAGUGGUCUUUGGUGUAGUGACAUCAAUUAUAAAUGUCUCCAAGGGAGGAAAUAAAGGUGAUGGUAGGUAGUAAAUGUUGAGGUGGUCUUUGAUAUGUUAUGCUCUAAGAGAGAAGGUAUAGGUAAUGAUAAUAGGGAAUUUGACAUAGUGGUGUUGGAAAUAAAAAGUGAAAGUGACCGUAGAGGUGAAAGGGCAAGUGUAAAAGCCUCAAGUACGAAUGGAGUAAUUAAUGUGGAUGGUGCUAACAUAGUCUUAGGUGGAUACACAAAUAGUCAUAGUCAUCAACUAGCUUGCCCACCAUCUGUCUUUCUGCUAGUGAUAGGUUACAUCUUAAUAGUAAUGGCCAACAUAAGUGGUGUGGAUCCGAUUUUUUUACGUGUGUCCCCACUCAAUCGACAAGACUUAUUUUUUAUUAGUGAAAAAUUAAUUUUGGAAAAGUUGGAGUCACCACUUAUUUUAUUUUAUUUUAAAAAGGAAAGUAAAACAAGAAAGAGAACUCUAAAGAAGUGACUUCAUAGUUUUGGAAAAGUUAGUCUUAAAAAAUCCAAGUCUUGGUCCGGAGAUCAGGUUACUUAUUGGGAAGAUACCUCUAAGAGGUAAUACCCCUCUAAACCCUAAAGAAGUCUCUAAUGACUAAGUUGAGGAGAAUGUGGUAAUUAAUUAAUUGAUUGAGGGUACCUAGGUAGACUAAGGUGAUUUCAGAAUUAACAUACCAAGCUAGAAAGUCCAAUCAUGAUCAUAAAAGAGAGUCAAAGUAUGUACCUGAACUGCUUCUCAAACGCUAUCAUAAAACAUCAAAGUUAGUAUAGAAAUAUAACACAUAAUAUUUGUUUUAUCCAAGCAAAUAAAGCAUACAUCUAAGCACCCAAGAAUCACAUCAAGUAUGGAUAUAGUCAUCAAUAGCAUACGUGUCCAUAGAACUAUCGAAAGUAAAUGUGGAGGAGCGUAUCUGGACAACAUAGAUAACUUAUAAUGUGCUUCCACAAGACAUGGGGGUUAGAUAAAAGUUAUAAUAAUAAUUAGUAAAUGAAAGAAUUCUAGCAUGUUUGGUAUCUAAAUAACAUAGCAAAAAUGAACAAGAGUACACGAAAACAUCAAUUAUCACACGAGUCAUAUUGGCUAGUAUUUAAUCAAUAAACCAACAAUAAAUGACUAUAAACAUAUAAAAUGACAUAUUCAAAGAGACCCAAACAUAAAGAGCCUAGAACACAAGCUUACACUAAAUUUAGAAAACUAAAACAUGGAAUUUUAAAAGCAUAAAUUAGCAAACAAAUUGAUGGAAACUAAAUUUAGAUAACUUAAGAAUAUUUUUCUUAUCCUUCAAUUUAAAUCAGUAAGCCAACAAUAAAAAAUUAUAGAAACAUGGAAUAUCAAGAUCAAUGGGAUACCUAAACUAUAAUUUUUAAAAGAAAAUAAACUAAGCAUAAUAUCUACAAAGCAACUAAACUAACAUUUUUUUAAAAAUAAAUUAAACAUGACAUUAAUGGAGUAACCAAACUAAAUUAAAGUAAACUAAAAACAUUUAUGAAUUUUCAAACAUGGAAUCAGCUUUCUUAGUAAAUUAAAAUUAUUAAAAUAAAAUCUAAGCUUAAAAAUGAAUUAAAUACUAACUAAAGCAAAUCUAAAACCAAAUAUUUAACACAUAGGAUCAAUUAUAUUAACAAACUAAAAUUUUAUAAGAACACUUAAACCUAAAGUUGAAUUAAAAACUAACCAAUUUUUAAAACUAGAUCUUUAACCCAUAGGAUCAAUUAUAUUAACAAAUAAAUAAUAAAUAAUAAAUAAAUAAAACUCAAACCUAAAGAUGAACUAGAAAUGUACCAAAGUAAAUUCAAAACAAGAUCUUUAACACAUUAGAUCAAUUAUAUUGACUAACUAAAAAAAAAAAAAAAAAACACUCAAACCUGAAACGAUGUAUUAGAAACUAACCAAAGCAAAUUUAAAAUAGAGUCUUUAACACAUAGGAUCAAUUAUAAUCACUAACUUAAAUUACAAUUUUUGAAACAUGAACUAAUUAGUGUUGGAUUAAUUAAACUAAUUAACUAAAAAAAACUAUAAACUAGAAUACGGUGAAUCAAGAAUUCAAAUCAACAAACAUAAAAUAUGGGUACAAUGAAAUGAAAAUCUAUUAAACUAAUAAGACGGAAAUAUGACAAACUCAUGAACCCACAUUUUGAUCAACUAGGAAAUAGAAAUUAAUAGACCUGUAGCAUGGAUACAAUGAAAUGAGAUCAGUUAAAUUUAUUUGCCGAAAUUCUAAAAAACACAUACACUCAAAUAAGAUCUAAAUCUAAGACCAAGCAAAACUCAAACUUUCUCAAUCUAAUGCAAUGAAUCAAAACUAAAAUUAAAUAGAAAUCAAACCAUUUUUUUUUUAUCUAAUAUAAUAAAUCAAAGCUAAAACUAAACAAAAUCGAAUUUUCUUAAUUUAAUAUGAUGAGUCAAAGCUAAAAUUGAACAAAGUUCAAACCUUUAUAUAAUGGAUCAAAGUUAAAUCUAAAUGAAAUCCAUACUUCCACAAUUUGAUAUAACAAAUCAAAAAUAAAACUAGAUAAAAAAAAAGUCAAAGCCUUUCAACUUGACAUAGUGAAUCCAAACUGAAACGAAACAAAAUUUUAACUUUUCCAAUGAAACCCAAUAUAGAAAAAAUUAGCUUACCUUCUUUAGAAUAUAUGUAUGGGCCAUAAAGAAGUCACCUUGGUGCAUGUGUUCCUCACUUUGACGCCAAUGGACGACUUUCUAUGGUAGCAAAUGGAGAUCCUUUUUGGUGGUAACUUGCGUGUGGAAACCUAUGGUACAACCAAUGUCAUCUUUUAUUGUGCGUGUGGACCAAUUUCUUCUCGAGAACUCAUGUGUGUUGUGCUCAAAAUAUGUUGCCUGUGAGAAUCUAUUGGUAUACCCCACAUAUGGUUUCCUUGAGAGAAUCUGUGGUUGUGUGUGGGCGUUUUCUUCAUGACAGCAUGUGGAUGUUCCCAUCUAUGGUAGAUUGGUUGUGAUGCUUUAGUGCAUGGUCUCCAUAGGAAUAGUGUGUUAUGGAAAUUUGGUUUUUUUAUUGGUGCAUGUUGUCUAGACUUUCCCAUAUGCGUGGACUGUGUGUUCAUGCUUUUCUUUUCGGAUGGUCGCCUGUGUUAAUGUGUGGCGGUGUCUACAAUGAAAGAUACAACCCUUUCUCUCCUUCUGCGUGAUAGAAAAGUCAAUCCCCCAUGGUGCGACUAUGUUCCCUCGUCCUUUUUGAAAAAUUUUGGUGUUUUCCCCCCAAAAAAUCCCCUCCAAAAAUCUAAUUAUAAAUGUCUGCUUUGGCCUAAUGUGUGUGCUACUUUUUUUUUCCUUCUUUUUAUGGUUGUGCGUGCUUUUCUUGAUACGUGGCUUAUUUCUUAAGGAUAUGAUUCGCUCCCAAUUGGUGUCUCAGCUGAUUCAUGUCCUUUCAAUGGUCCCUGACAGUGGUGCCAUUUGAUUCGUGUCCAGCUGGUGUCCCUUGAUUGUGGUCCUCAGAAGGGAGUAAUCAAUAAAAUUUAUAACCUAUUACACCAUGUAUUAGGAUAGCCUUAGCUAGCAUAGCAUAGUGGCUCUAGGGUCGUUUAUUGGGAUGAGUUUUCACUUCACAAUUGAUAUUAAUUCAAGAGCUGAAUUGGUGCCUUUUCAUUUCAAGGUUAGCUUUAAAAGAAAACAUAAUCUUUGGUGGAAAAAGGUUUGGUUUUAAACUAACCAAAAAUAGUAACUGAUUUUACUUACAAAGAAAAGUGUUCUUUGGAGUUUAGAUCACUAGGCUCAGGUUCCUCAUACAAAAAGGAGAGUUCCGAUCAUUUGUUUCUUUUCCUCGCAUUAGAGAAUUAACAUAUAGUUAAUUCUCUAACCGGUGCGGUACAUAUGCUUCCCAUUAAUGGGUUCAAACACUAAAUACCUCUCACUGAUGCACCUUGCAAUGGCUCGUGCCUCUCACCUAGCAUUUAUCAUUCAAGGUGAUCUUUAACCUUGGAUUACCCAUCAAAAGCUCGCAAGAGAUAACUAAAGGAUGUCUCCUUAGAGUCCAAAAGCUUACCAAGUGUUGGUUAUUCUAGAAAAUCCUACCUUCAAACCACCUCCCAAAGGCUCGCAAGAGAUAAACAAGUGCAUCUCAAUGGAUGAAGAUCACUUGCCUUACCAAGUUUUGGCCCAGAUGAUUUAAUGACAUUUUAAGUUAACUAAAAAGAUAAAAACCAUUAACGGGUCACACUUUCUCUUCAUUAAAAACUAAAACAACAAAACUUCCAAUUUAUGCAUGAGGAAACUUACCUGGCUUUCUUCACUUCAAGAGAUGAAGAGCCUAGCCACUCAUCAUUUGAGGAAAAAUCCUCAGAGUUUGAUUUGCUAGAAAUAAAAAUAAUGAGAAAACAAAAAUAUAUAUAUGAAAAACAGAGCAAGUUCUCUGUAAUAUAUUUUUCUUCCUUAUACAAAAGGUUGUCUCUAAGAACAAGUUCCCGAGAUCUAUCUGAUUGUAAAUAAAAUUACAACUAUAUAUAAGAGGUUAUUCACCCCUUUGUUCUUUCUUAAAGACUAAGGAAUCCUAUGAUAGGUGGGUUACAAGGAGAGUUUGGGGAUUUAGACAUCAAAUAUCUAAAGCAAAAUAUCUCAAGAUGUUAGUCGGAAAUAUCAGGAAGCUUCAGGAGAACACCGCGACACUGUAUACUGAGAGAAAAACUCUCCGGGUAAGCUCUAUCAAAGGAUCCAGACAUGUCUGACUGGGAAAGUUGAAACGUCCUUCUCUCCCAUCCGGAUGUGAGAUAUCCGGAGAAAGUGAAAUGUCGGUCGGACAGAAUUCUUUCCCCGGGUGGAAUGAGUUGUGUUGCGCGUCGCAAGGGGGACCGUCUGCGUGUACAAGUUGUAGGGACCCCUCUCCCGGAUGACACCGAGCGCGUAAGGCUAUCCGGAUCAACUCCAUUCGGAUUCCCCAAGAGGACAUGUGGCGUGCUCCCCUAUCAGGACUCCCUUAGGGAGAAGCACACGACACUCGUGAACAUCAUACCCGGACGAUAGCAUGUCCUAUCCGGAUGUGUUGUCCGGAUCAUUGACUAAAGUGAGCAAGCCUUGCUACGUCAUUCGGACAGCUUGCCACAUACCAUGUUCCGUCGCCAUCUGAUGGUGUGUCCGAACGCCUUGUCCGGACAUCUUUUGCUCCUUGCAUUCCGGAUUUGCUUAUGACAAAGGACUUCAAAGCUUCGGUUCUUCAUGUUUCUGAGCUUUCCAUUGCUUUGCCAUGGAUUCCAAAGAACUCUCCUUAAUCACGGAUUGCUUUGGUGAUCAAAAAGUUAUCAAAACACAAAAACUUAACAUAGUUUGAUUAGAAUUGAUUGCAAGGGUUCUUAAUAUGUUAAUUGGGUUAAAAGGUGAUAACUACUACUCAAAAGUGUUUAUAAGAAUUAAUUACAAGCUAUGAAAUAACACUUUUUGAGUAGUAAUCAGGAUACAUCCUAGUUUUUCAUGGAAUUGAUAGUGGGUUGUUGUGCAUGAAUGCCACCAUUUCAACUAUGCUGUUGUUAUUUUUAAAAAAAAUAUGGAUUAUGCGCGAGUGGCAAUUCUCCACUAUGGAAAGUGGAUUGCUCCUUCAACCCAUGCAUGGCUACGUAUUCCUAUGUCUUUCUACUUGUGUUUGAUCCUCCAAAAAAAAUUUCGGUUUAGUGCUAGUAGAUUUUAAGUGGUGGAUCCCCAUUUUUUGAAAAUGAAGUGGCAGCCUCCCAUUUCAAGACAAAAUGGUAGCCUGCCUUUAAUCUUUGGAGAAAAAUCUGUGCAUGACCUUUUUUUUUCCCAAAAAAUCCGUGCAUGGUGUCCUUUAAUAUUUGGAGAAAAAUCUAUGUUGGAUCUUUUCUUUUCUAGAAACAUUUGUGUGGUCUUUUUUGUUAGCCCAAGGGUUCUUCUAAUCAAGUUUUGAUGAUAACAAACCAUGGUUAAGUGACUAAUUGGUUUAAUGAUUAAGAAUCUCAAACAUAAAAUCGAAAAUUCAUCAAAGGACCAAAUGGAUACAAGAUCGAGACGCUUGGAAGACUUGUAAUCAUAGGAAACUAAUGUAAGAUGAAUGCAUGAGUGCACUUAGGAUUUUCACACGUUUCAUGCAACUUAGAAAACCCAGUUUAUUCUUUAAAACUUCAUCCCAGUUUAUUCUUUUUAUGGUUGUGUGUGCUUUCCUUGAUACGUGGCUUAUUUAUUAAGGAUACAUCCCAGUUUUUCAUGGAAUUGACAGUGGGUUGUUGUGUGUGAAUGCCACCAUUUCAACUGUGCUGUUGUUAUUUAAAAAAAAAAAAAAUGGAUUGUGCGCGAGUGGCAAUUCUCCACUAUGGAAAGUGGAUUGCUCCUUCAACCCAUGCAUGGCUACGUAUUCCUAUGUCUUUCUGCUUGUGUGUGAUCCUCCAAAAAAAAUUUUGGUUUAGUGCUAGUAGAUUUUAAGUGGUGGAUCCCCUUUUUUUGAAAACUAAGUGGCAGCCUCCCAUUUCAAAACGAAGUGGUAGCCUGCCUUUAGUCUUUGGAGAAAAAUCUGUGCAUGACUUUUUUUUUCCCAAAAAAUCCAUGCAUGGUGUCCUUUAAUAUUUGGAGAAAAAUCUAUGUGGGAUCUUUUAUUUUCUAGAAAAAUUUGUGUGGUCUUUUUUGUUAGCCCAAGGGUUCUCCUAAUCAGGUUUUGAUGAUAACAAAUCAUGGUUAAGUGACUAAUUGGUUUAAUGAUUAAGAAUCUCAAACAUAAACUCGAAAAUUCAUCAAAUGACCAAAUGGAUACAAGAUCGAGACGCUUGGAAGACUUGUGAUCAUAGGAAACUAAUGUAAGAUGAAUGCAUGAGUGCACUUAGGAUUUUCACACGUUUCAUGCAAUUUAGAAAACCCAGUUUAUUCUUUAAAACUUCAAUUUCAUUAAAACCCGAGUUUUUAACUAAUGUACCUUAGGCAAAAUGUUUUAUAAUUGGCUUAAUAAUUCACCUAAAUACAUUUUCUAAGUGUUAGAAAAGAAAGGAAUUAAAAAAAGGUUUUCGGGGCAAAAAAGGCUCAACCGGUCGAGGCUAUGGUCAACCGGCUCAACCGGUUGAGGAACCAAUCGAUCGGUUGUGCUUGUCCGAUCGAAGACCAAUCGAGGGAUGCCAAAAAAUUUCUCUCUCUCCUAGUGGCCUUCUCUUCCCGGUCGAGGUUCGGUCUAGGCAACGGUAACAUGUCAAGCAUUAAAUGCUCCGACGACUAGUGAAUCGGUCGACCCCUAGCCCGAUCGGACGAGGUUGCCUUUUGCUGUUUUUGACUCCCGAGCUUAGAAACCUAUAAAUUGAGAGCUCCACUUCAUUUAUUGAUAAAAGAGAACACUUGCAUUCAAUAGUCUACCUACCUUUUCUUGAUCAAAAAGCUCUCAUUUCCUUCAUAGUGCAUUAAAUCAUCACUUGCAUAUCCUUUAGUGCACUAUUGUGUGUCAUCCUAGCUUUGUUUUGUAUUUGAGCUAUCCUUAAGCUAGGUUGAGGGAUUAUUUCUUAUAAAAAUCUGAGUGUUAAAGCCUUCAAGAGAUUUGAAUCUUGAAGAGAUUGUGUAAGAGCCCAUUGGAGCCGGAGUCCAAGUGUAAGAAGAUUGGAAGCUUGGUUGAAGCUUCAAGUUAGUGGAACCCUCACUCGGUUAGGAGGUUGAGGAGAGUGGACGUAGGUAAGGAAGUGUCGAACCAUUAUAAACCCGAGUUUGAAUUCUCUAACUCUAUCUCUUUAUUUUGCUUAUAUUGUGUUUGAAUUUGUUGUGAUUGAAAAGAUUUUAAAAACCUAAUUCACCCUCCCCCCUUUUGGGUUUUUUUUUCUUAAUUAAGCAUAACCUUUGUUUUCUAAUUUUCUUUUUAGGAAAAUCCAUGCGUGGUAUGUCCAAACUCUCCAAGUGGCAGUCUGCCUUCUUCUAAAAAAUUUGUUUCUAUUUCUUUAUUCGACUACCUUCCAUGUCUUCCUAAUGAGUGCUUGUGCUCAAUGGUCAAUCCCUGGUGGUUGCCUCCUUUUCCCAUAUAUACGUGUUGCAAAAUCAACAUCCCACUAUAUGUGGGUUGCCUCUAUGGCAAGUUCACAUUUCCCACAUGAAACCUAUGAGUUUCCACCAAAAAUUGCCAUGAAAAAGUCUUUAUAUGCAUCUCAUGCAAUAAAAAGUCAAGCCAAUACUCAUCUUAUCUCGAAAAAUAAGUAACCAAAAUCAAGAUCAUGCCUAAGUGAACUAUGCCAAAAGAAGUGUCCAAGUGACCUAUUAUGAAAAAAGUGCCUAAGUGACCUAAGGUGAAUGUGUGUAAGCUGGAAGGUGUCUAGGAUGUUUAGGACAAUGCCUAAGCCUAAAAUAGGGUUGCCAAGGGUCACAAUGGGGUUAGAUAAAUCUCUCAAUCAGAGUCUCCAAGGUGGCUCAUAAAAGAUAAGCUACACGAGUAAUGAUGGGCCACCAGGGAAUUAUUGUAAAGCACCAAACGAACACAUAAUAGGACAUGUGUUAGAAUGAAAAAAUGGAGGGUUUACAAGUGGUCUCAUGGAUGAGCUUGAUAAUUUAAAUGACUCACAUAAUGAACGUAUGUGAUGUUUCUCUCCAAUAACAAGCAAAACAUCACUAGCAAUAUGAUGAAUGUCUCCUAAAUCACUUGAAGUAGUCCUAGCAAAUCAAUUAGAAAAAUCACACAUAUUGCUCUAAUGUAAUAUUAUAUACAUCUGUCAAUGAAUGGGAGAACUAAUGACACAACCAUCAUGUUGAUAUCUCGAACCCUCUAAUCUCAUAUGUAGGUGGGAUCACACUUAGAAACUCAUAACACAGUAAUGACCAAUCUAAGUCAAAAUGUGUUGGUGAUCGGAGGCCCAUGAAUAUGAAGUUCUAGGAUGAUAAUGACAUCUUAUAAAGUAAUGAUCAUCUCCUUAAUAGAUAGGUGAAAUGUGUGUGUCUUAGGACACCAUCUCUCAACAAGACUUGUGAUCAAUCCCCAGUCUAGUGUAACAUGCCUAUUAUGACAUCCAUCGUAAAAUCUAGACUAGAUAAUAUAAGGACAAAUGUGAGGGUUCAUCUCCCUUUCCCACAUAAAUUUAAAAAAUUAUUAUUGACAAGUUAAGACCAAACUAAGUUGCAAAAUAUAAAUAAGUCCAUUAGAUAACAAAUUUAUGUUUUCUCAUUUUCUCAUUUUUAAAGAGAUAUUAUGUGCUUCCAUGUACAUACAUGCUAAAGUCAAUUAUACGAGACUUAUAUCCAUCUUGUAGAACCAAAUCGAACCUAUCUAAUAGAUCCAGAUUAGAAGUAUGUCCUCUAUACUCCAUAUUUAUAACACAUUUAUAAAGAUAAAUGCUAAAAAAAUGUUAAAGAUAUAAAUUUAAUGAACCAUACUUUAUGAUUUUAAUUCUCAAUUAUUGUUCAUAUUUAUAAGAGAAAAGUUAAAAAAAUUGAUAGAGUUUUCCCUCUAUCAUGGACAUUAUCCCAAAUAAAAAUAAAUUGAUUAUGCAAAUUACAUUAAUAUUUGUAACCAAAUGAUCAAUAACUAUCUUGUAUCAAUUUAGUAAAUAAAUUUAAGUAUAUCUUUUCAUUUAUGACUAACAAAUAACUCAUACUUGUCCAAUAAAAGCCACACCUAAUUUCUAAAAUUUUGUCUUCACCUCAAGUGAGUGUUACAUUGAGAAAGAAAAAAUAUGAAAGAAAAAAUGAACACCUUUUUCUUUUAAUAAAAAAAGGCCAUAACGAAACAUUAAAUCUCACUGUUACACCUAUCUUCAAUGGAAACAUGAGGAUGUGAAUGGUGGCGGUGAUAUUCUUUGCUUGAAGCUCAUAAACAAAUAUUCCUUACUAAGCCUAUGCCAUUUAGUAUUUCAAUAGUGGACCCCCCCCCCCCCCCCCCCCCCCUCCUUGCAUUUCAGAUUUAGCAAACUUAGAACCAAAUAACAAAGUGCAUUUGAACCCAUAAAGAAGUAAUGAGACUCUCCUAUAUUGGCAAUAGAAGAAAUUUUUGGAGGUAUAGGAGAUUCACGGAUGAAGAAGUUGGGCCCCAAUUGAGAUAAGACCCAAGAAAAGAUGGGGUAGAGAGGGAUGGUUGGAAAUUGUAAAGUAAGAUUUUCAAAAUGUAGUUGAUGACUAAGAUUUUGACAAUUUAAAAAAGGUUUAAAAAUGUAGUUAGCAAUCGGGGUUUUGUAACAUUUAAAAAAUAAAAUAAAAUCUCAGGCCACAUGGUAGCCCAUGUGAUUCAGAAGCUUGAGAAUUAUUUUAUAAGAAGACUUAAUUUGUGAUUUUUUUAUAACUAUAUUAUUUUUUUUCUUAACACACGAAAAAAAUUAUGAAAUAAGACAAUUUUCCUAAGAAAGCAUGUAAGUGACUCUUGGUUAUUUUAUUUAACUUCUUCUAGUUUGGAGAGGAUUAAUACCUUUGCUUUUACUCACUUGCUUGGAUAUGUACACGUUGUUCAUGUCACUUUUCAUUUAAUUUUCUGAUUAAGGGAAUUGGAACCGUACGUAACUGUCUUUAUUCCCUCUGAAACUUGGACUUGGAGUUGGACUUUCAAUCUCAUCAGUCGUGUUUCCAUAAAAAAGAAGAUGGAUUAACCAAUUUUCCUAUGCCUACUAAUCAUACACAAAACUCCACUUCCAAAUAAAAAGGAAUGGGAUAUCACUUGUUAAUAGUGGCUAAAGACUAUUAAUAACCAUGCAAAGAAAUGUCACAUUUUUUGUUCUACGCAAAUUUUAUUCAUCAACUACUAGAACCAUUUCAUACAAUAGUAGCUUUUCGAUCCUUUGAUAAAUGGACACUUGAUGUGAUAACACCAACUACACCUAUAUAUUCAAGCAAUCAUGCGUAUAUAAUAGUGGAUAUGGAUUACUUCUCUAAAUGGGCAAAAGUUUUGUCAUUCAAGGAAAGUGAACGAGGAAACACAAGUUUACUUUCAUCGGAACUAAUAUUAUAUAUUGAUAUGACUUCCCAUUAUUACUUACGAUGGAAUAUGCUUCCAUAAAAUGGCCUAGAUGAACAAACUAUCCAAGAAGUUUGGGAUCAAAUAAUAUAUAUAUAGUUCAUGUGUGAUUCUUUGGUUGACAACCUUGUUAAGGGGUGAGUGAAGCACUUUGGGCAUACCACAUACUACAUGCUAGACUUCCACCCAAGCUACCCUAUAUUCCUUAUGAACAAAGUAGAAGUUGUCAUCUCUCUUGAAUACCAAAUCCUUUCACCUAAUAAUGCUAUCUAAAAAGGUCUUAAAAAGGAUAAAAAUGCGCAUAUUUGAAUUUUUGAAUUAGGAGUGCUACUUAAAAAGAAGCUAGAUAUACAAUAAUAGAAUGUUAUCAAGCAUAUCUCUUCAAAGUUUUUGACCAAAAAAUAUAUGAUUUCUCAUUUUAGGUAGGAGACUUAGUACUCACUAUUCAAAAACCAAUUAUCAUUACUCAUAAAAACUAAUAGAAAGUUUGGGCCAAAGUAGGAUGGACCUUAUAUUAUGCAACAAUUAUGCCUAUAAAAUUGUUGCAAAAGAGGUUUUAGAAUCAAAUCAAUGAAUGAAAAAUUAUUAAAGCAUUACUAUGCUUGAAGGCUAGUCAUUUUCCCUUAAAGUGCAAUAUUAAGUUGCAUAGUACUAUGUGGAUCCGCAUUUUUCACAUGCGUUCCCACUCAUUGUCGAGACUCACUUUUUAGAAGUGAAAAAUUAGUUUUAUUAAAGUCGAAGUUGCCACUGGGGAUUUGAACCCUAACAAAAGGUUCAAUUUAAGGAUAAAAAUAUCGAUAAUCACAUAUAUAUAUAUUGGUACUUUGAUUUUAUGAAUAUAUUGAAGAAAUAUGGACAAAUAUUUUGACACAAAAUAUGUACAAAAUAAAAAUUAUAUAAAAAGUAAAAAUAAAUAUUUUAAAAUUAUUUUUUUAAAUAUAUAUAUAUAUAAUUUGACAUAUUUGAUAAUAAUAUAUAAGGGUCUCCAAAAAGCCCGUGGCCCGCUUUAGGCCCGGUCCGACCCGACAGGCUAAAGCCCGGCCCAAGCCCGCCGGGCCCAAGCUCGGCCCGAGCCCGUUUAUGGGUGGGCCGGGCCGCGAGCCCGUAGGCCUGCUCCUUUAAAAAAAAACUACAAAAAUAAAAAGUAUUAAAAAAAAUAUUCAUUUCAAAAUUUUAUUCAUUGAAUGUAUAAUUACAUUUGAAAAUGUGGGAAAAGUUUACAUCACUACAAAAUAAAUACAUCCCAACUAGGUUGGCACCUAUUUAUUUGUCAAUCAUCUGUAUUUUUCAACCACAAAAAAUAAAAAUAAAAAUAUAAUAUACAUUUAGUCAUUAUUUUCUGGCGGUGAUGGCGAACUAUCAUGCAUCCAUGAAGAUCUUGAUAAUUUUAAAGAUUCCAUAUCGGUAAGCAUCUUUGUUUCUCGAAUGGAAUCAUACAUCCUUUUAUCUGCUAUUUCCCAAUCUUUCACACAUAUCCCUGCUUUAAUAACAUCUGACGCUAAGUUGCAUCGUUUUUUACUAACUACUCUUCCACCUGCACUAAAAGCAGCUUCUGAUGCAACUGUACUCACAGGAACUGUUAGUACAUCACGAGCAAUUAUAGAAAGCACAGGAUAUUUGUGUUGAUGUGAUUUCCACCAUAUUAAAAUAUUAAAAUCUUCUUGAUCUUCAAAUGAAAUUAUAUCAGUAUUAAGAUAUUUAUCUAAAUCAGAUGUAUUAUUUGGAGAAUUAUUUGUUGUCUUUUUUCGACUUUUCAACAUUUCUAGAGCUCCUUUAUAAAAAGAUGAGGAGUUUGUAGAUGUAGGUGGUAAUUUAAUAGUAUUAAUAUCAUUACCAUAUUUUUCUUUAUAAUAGUUAUAUAAAUUAUAUAAUAAUGAAUUUAUUUCAUUUUUAAUUUCUUCAAUUUUUAUUUGGUCAUUAAAAUAAAUAAUUGUUAACCAUUCAUCCAAAGCUUCAAAUUUCAAUCUAGGGUCCACAAUUAAAGCAAUAUAAAAAAUUAAAGGUAUUUCUCCCCAAUAUUUUCUAAAUUUUUAUAUCAUUACAAAUAUUGUAUCAUUAAAUAUUUCAAAACUUAAAUAUUUUUGAAGUACAAUAAAAAUAUUAGUUAUUUGCGUAAUAACUCGAUUUGAAGUUGGAUAAUAUACACCACAAAAAAUGUUUGUUGAAGUAUCAAAAAUUUCAAAAAGAUCUCUUAAAACAUCCGCAAUAUGCCAAUCAUAAUCAUUUAAUGCAUAAAUAUCUGCUUCAUAAUCAUUGUUAAUUAAUUGUAUUUCAUAUAAUUCGACUACUUUUCUAUAUUUUGUAAUAUUUUCUAAAAGUUUAUAUGUGGAAUUCCAUCUAAUAGCCAUAUCCAAAUUUAUAUUUUUUCUUUUCAUAUUUAACAUUUUGCAACAAUCAAAAAAUAAUUCAUGUUUUGCUUGAAAACUAUUAAUACUAUAUGCAAUGCCUCUAAUUUUUUUCCAAUGUACUAUCAACAUUUUUUAAUCCAUCCUUUACAAUUAAAUUUAAAAUAUGUGCACAACAACGCACAUGAAAUAUUUUAGCAUGAUCUUCUUUUACUUGCCAAUAUCGUUUUAGUCUAUGUAUUGCUGCAUCAUUAUUAGCAGCAUUAUCUAAUGUUAUUGUCAAUAUUUUAUCACGAAUGCCUAAAUCUAUAAUUUCAUCAUUUAUUAAAGAUGCUAUAUUUUUACCACUAUGUGGAGUAUUUAUUAAUUUAAAUAAAAUUAUUCUUUUAUUUAAUUUCCAUUCAUUAUCAAUGUAGUGAACAAUUAUAUAUAAAAAACCAGUAUGAGUUAAAGAUGUCCAAAUGUCAGAUGUUAAACGAAUAUUUCCUUCAAAAUUUGCAAAAUUUUUUUUUAAAAUUUCUUUUUGUGUAUAAAUUUUUUUCAUAAUAUCUCUUUUAACUGUAUUUCCAGAUCAACCUUUAAAUUGAGGAUUAAUACCUCGUUGAAUUGUUCUUGCAAAAUCAUGAGUUUCCAUCAUGUUGAAAGGUUGUUCUGCUCUUAUUAUAUAAUCAAUCAUUUCUUCACAACAGUUAGAUUCAUCAUAAGAAAAUGUUUUUAAAUUUCCACUUUCAUUUUUACUUAAUUGCAUAUAAUUUCUAAUAUCUACAUUAUUUUUAGUUUUACAAUUUUCAUGAUGUCUUUUUAAAUGACUUGUAUCUGCAUUUGAGCCACCAGUAAGAAAUUUAUUACAAAUUUUACAUUUUGCUUUUAUUUUUUUUUUAUUAUUUUCUAAAAUUAUUUCUAUUCUAUCAAAAAAAUUCCAUAUAUUUAAAGUAAAUUUUUUGUUUGAUGAUAUUUCAUCACAUGGACUAGACGAAGAAGCACUUGUCAUAUUAUAAUUAUUGAUAAAAUAUUAUGCCAAAAAUAAUAAAGUAAUAAAUAUAAAAAAAAAUGUAACAAAAAAAAUAAAGUAGUAGGGGUGAAGUAUGUUACUCAAUUAGAGAACCUAUGCAGAAAUUCCUAGCAAAUUUGAACUCUUGGAGCCACCAAUGCUUGUUUUGCACCAUCAACAAUAUUGUAUAAUUUGAGGGAAAAAUAAAAGAAUUUAAAAUAUUGUAGAAUGUGAGAGAAAUAGAGAGAAUUUGAUGAAAAAAUGAAAAGGAAGAAAAUGUAUUUAUAGGAAGGUUAAAAAUAAUAAUAAUAAUAAUAAUAAUAAUAAUAAUAAUAAUAAUAAUAAUAAUAAUAAUAAUAAUUGGCCAUGUGACCGUUGGAGGCUUAGCUCCAACGGUCACAUGGGCUGGAGCUAGGCUCCAACAGUCACAUGACCGUUGGAGCCUUUAAUUUUUUUUUUUAAAAUAAUAUACUUUAUUUUUAUAUAUAUAUAACUAACUCAAUUAAUAAACAUAAAAAGAAUAUAGUUCAGUUGGUUAGAACCUUGAAGUUUAAACAUGAGGGGAGGGGUUUGAAUCCCUCCCUCUCCCUUAGGGGCUUUUUUAAAAGCCAUUUUGGCUUAUUUCAAAAAGCCUGUCGGCCCGACCCGCCCUGCAGCCCGCGGGCCUAGCAUUUUAGCAUGGCCUGGUCUGUUGACUAGUCAAAUGGCUCAUAGGCUCGGCCCGAACUGGGCCGCGGGCCUCUUAUUUACGGACCGGCCCGACCCGGCCCGCCCGUUGGAGACCCUUGAUAAUAUCUUCUAUAUUAAGUUACAUUAUAGUUUAUUUUACAAUAUUAUUAUGAUAAUAUGUCUAAUUUUAAAAUAUAUUUAAUAUUAAAAUUAUGAUCUAUUUUAAUUUAAAUGUAUUCAAUGAUAUCAAAUAAAUAAUAAUAUAUGUAUAAUUCUUUUAUUAUUUAUAUUUAUUAUUUUUAAUAAAUAUAUAGAUUAUAUAAAAAAGACCGGAUAUAUCUUUUCAAAUUUUGUAUCGCUCUCCAAGGAUAUUAGAUGUAUGGGAAUUUGUAUUGCUAUCUACGGAUACGUUGAUAUAUGGGUGAUUUAUCAGGAUAAUUAGAAAUUCUAAUUAUGUAAGCAGGUACGGAGUUCUGUGUCGGUGCGAUCUUGUCGACAACAGCUCCAAAUUGUGCAUCUUGCUCAUAGAGAGUAGCGGAAUGCACCAAUCGUAGGCUCAGAGUACCACUGAGUCGUCUGGCAGAGACCCAACUGAAGGUGCCUGUGUUGUUCCUGAUCUGAUCAGGCUUCAAACUACAAGGUGGAAUACUGGUUCCCCUAUAUCAGAAGCUGGAGAUACCCACCCCAUAUGCUCGUCUGGAUGUGCUCCUACCCUUUGAAGCCUUCUUCCGAGUCAAGUCCGAAUUGAUAAGGCUAGUGAGUUCCCAACCAACUGUACUCAGCAUGCUGCCAGGUGGAGACCCUCCAUAUUUGAUGGCUUCCUAAUAUUAAAAUGCUGACCACUGGUCUUCAUGUUCCACAGGCUUAAUUGUGUCCUUUGCUGAAAGAAUGGAUAGUGAUCCAUUUUAACACAUGAUUCACGCCGUCUUUGCCAUUCUUCAUGGUCUAGCCCUUUUAUAUAUAUGCUUCCUGAACUGUUGCUAUUAAUAAAAUGUGGUAUCUAUCCCGUACACCUUCCUGAUGGCCAGCGAAUGCAGAAGCUACAGAAACGGUUCCAUCUUUUGCUUCCGCCACUUUGGCAUCCUCCAUGAUGAGAUCGAAGGUGAAUAAUCAUAUUCUGGGGAUUUAUGUCCUGGAUAUUCUCAGUAAUGCCCAAUUUCCUGGUGCCGGCCUCAUUUCCAUGGGAACUGAUGGAUAACUUAAGGCUUCUACCAUCUGCGUGGUUCGCUUCUAACACAGGAAACUUCACGGCUAAAAGCAAGAUACCAAGAACAUCAAGGCUGUGACAAAAAUUAGUAUUUUUAACUUGUAGGAAUUUGAAAGGCAACCAACCAUCUAGCUCUGUUCUUAAAGCUCCCAUAGGAGGAUCAGAGGCUGGAUUGCUCAAGAUGAACUCAUCCAUUGUUGCACUUAAAAAGAAUUGGCAUGAAUUGUGGCCGCUCUAAUAGGUUCCCUAAACCAUCAUCCAAGUGGGCUUGCGGAAGGUAGCGAGUUUAAAACACCUAGGGCGAUGAACAGUGGACUGUGAUGCUCACAAAAGAGAAAAGGAAGAAUUCAAUAAUUCCUAAGAAUCCAUUUGCCUGUCAUCCAAAUUUUUAUAUUCUCUUCAGUCUGACGCGUUAUGCCAUAUAUUAAAAAUAGCGGCUUCUUCCAAGCCGAGACAGACUGUGCAAAGUUCGCAAGGCCAAUCAUCACCAUAAUCUGAAGUUGGCCUCCUCAAUCGCAGCUUGUAUCCGAAUGCUCACUUCACGGGAUGGAUUGUAAUGAAAACUAAUCUCAGUCCCAGCUAUGGCAGCAUCCUCACUUGACAGCAUUUUCUGCAUAUUCUAGAACAAAGCAAUAAACCCUCAAAGGCUCCUUCGGAUCAGAGUUAGAAGACUGUCCCUCAGGAACGUGAACACUAUGGUGGUUCUGAUAAGCAGUGAUAUUGCAUUAGAGCCUUUUGGAACAAGAGGAUCUUUUCAGGUGGAAACUGUAAACUGCUUCAUGUUGGGCUGCAACCUUUUCUUCAAGCAAUACUUUCUUUCUGUAUCACGACUUAUGUUGCUUCCGGAGCCAUCCCGUGUGGACUGCCCUUCAGUGAAAGAAUAUGUGUGUUGACAUGUUGGAUUGUAAUCUUUGUUCCACUCUAAUGGCUUUUGGUCCUCCUCUUUCUCUUUAUGACAGAGAACCAUUUAGUGAUCCAUCUCUAUAUUGUAGCAUUGCUGGUGCUUUGCAAUACUACACUCUCACCAAGCAUAACAUCUAUUUUUCCGUGACCAAAGUAUGUCGGUUUAUGCAUGCGCAAACUCUUAUUCAUUGGCAAGUUGUCAAGCGUAUCUCAUGAUUUCCCAAAGCCACAAGUUCUUAUGGUCUUUCUGUUCAAGCUUACAAUGAUCUAUCUUUUCUUGGUUAUACUGAUGUCGAUUGGGCUAGUUGCCCUGAUAACAAGCACAAUACUAGUGGGUACAACACUUUUCCUGGUCCUAAUCUCAUUUCAUGGGCAUUUUCAAAGCAGAAGGUUGUGUCUCACUCCAAUAACGAAUCUGAAUAUAGGGGACUCACUAAUUAAUGUUGUUGCCAAGGUCACUUGGAUUGAAUCUGUCUUACGUGAGUUGCGUGUUUCUCUACCCCAACCACCAAUUUUGUUGUGUGACAACAUUAGUGCUACACACUUGGACAAACCAUGUUGAAAUACACUAUCAUUUUAUCCAUGAAAGGCUUAUGCAUCACACACUCAAAAUUCAAUACACCUCUUCUAUAGACCAACUAGUCAAUGCUAUGACCAAAGCUCUUCCUUCAUCUCACUUGUACAAUCUUCAGUGCAAGCUGAUUGUUCUUCCCAAACCACUCAACUUGAGGGGAGAUGUUAAGCCAAUUUAAUAAAUUGAUUUCUUUUGGUUAAUUUGUUAGAAUCAUUUUUAUUAGAGGUUUGUUUGUACAAUUACAUCCAUUUAUCAGGAGAGUACACGUGUACAACUCCUCUUUUAAUCUCACCAUUGUAUAUAUAUGAUACACGACCUUACUCAGAAUUGCAUAACAUUUCCUCUGCUCAUUCCUUUUCUUCUUUGAAUUUUCCCUUACCUCACUGAUUUUGAUUUAUACCUGGUGUUUUCACCUUUGGUCUCUACCUUUCUAGCCAGUUUUCUAAUUAAUCCGUAUAUGGUAUACCUGUCAACUAAUGAGGAGAAAGAGAAAAGGGGAUUGCUGUUCCACCAGCUACAUAUAAUAAUUAAUUACAAUCAUGGUAAUGGAUCCUGAAAUCCAUCCUUUGUGGAUUUUGUACGGAAUAUUGUUGUUAUGUAUGUGGGCUCACUUAGAUGUAUAUUGCUAGCCUGUCUGGGAAAUGUGAUUGCAGGUCCAGAUUAUGAUGUUGAUAUUAGUGGGAUAAGCAAGAGAUGCAGUUAACACGUAUGUGAUGGACUUGAGUAACUUUUCCAUUUCAGUCCAUUUUUUAAGAUUAUGCUUAGUCUUAUUACAAGGAAAGACCAUAAGAAUCAUGAGUCAUUGGCAAGGUAAUAUCAUUCCCUCUUUACAGGCUUCUUCACCUUUUGGUUUUUUUAAUAUCCAUCAAGAUCUUUUAAUUGGAGGACAAUUACAAGUAUAUAUAUAUGUAUUAAAAGGGGAAAAUAUUAAAACAGGAAAUUUUAGGGAAAAUAUAAUAAUUAUUUCUUCCUUCUUUCCCAUAUAGAACUACACAAAAUAAAACUUUAAUAAUUUUUUCUUAUCUUUUUUAUUAUUAUUUUUUCUUAGAAACAUCCGUGGUCUCACAAGCUUGUAAUCCUAGAUUGUUAGGCUCCUUUAACAGUGCCCCAACAUCGUGGUCCAAUGACAAGCUUCCACGCCUUAAAAUCAGAAAAUGCCAUUAAACUUUAUCAGACAUUACAGUUCAAGACAAAGCUUUCAUUUGCUUAAUGUGAUAAUGAAAUUGUUAAUUUCAUUUCGUGGGCAUCUAAAUUUGGACGAGCAAGACCUCUGAAUUCCCUGUUUUUAUCACCAGCAGAGGAGAUAAAAUCUUAAUGGUGAGAAUCUCCACGUGAAAUUUAUGUGUACUGUCAACAUAUUUUUGUUUAUAUAGUCCAGUAGCUGCAGGAAGUCUAGAUUAUAUAGGUAGCAGUAGCACUAUUUAUAGCACUCGAUAUUCGCUGUAUGAAUACAUUAAACCUUGUUUUCAAUACGCAUCACAAGCAAGUACUAGAUACUACAAGGAGUGACAGUCGCAUCAACAUUUCUUGAUAAUAGCAGUGACUGAUUUAUACACAGAACAGUACUGUACACGUACCAGUCACCAGAGAUAGGAUCUUAUUCCUACAUACGACUCUUAUUGAUCGAAGUCACUCAGUUGGGGUAGCCUGGAGUUGGAGGUUUGUGUGGUGGCUUCUUCUUUGGAGGAGGCUUUAUCUUUGGAGGCAUCAUCUUUGGAGGCAUCUUGUGUGAGUCUUCUUCAGCAUUCUCUACAGGAGGAUGGCCAGGCUUAUGACCCUUAGGUGGUUUGCCAACUGGGAUUGGUGGCUUGUGUCCUGAGAGUGGCUCCUCUUCUUCGGGAGGUUUGCCAACUGACGUUGGUGGCCCGUGUCCUGGGGGUGGCUUGUGUUUUGGGGGUGGUUUCACUCCACCGGGAGGUUUACCAAUUGGUGUUGGUGGUUUGUGCUCAAUCGGUGGCCUCUCAACUGGGGGGCGCUUGGGGUAAUCAGCGAGUGAAGAAGUGGUGAGAACCACCACUCCAAGCAACAACACUAGCAAGUAUGUGGAAGACAUCUUUGAGUUUGGCUCAGAUG
RNAcentral lists this long non-coding RNA (30076 nucleotides) under Vitis vinifera (wine grape). Its description in RNAcentral is "long non-coding RNA (VVIN_LNC001392)". Lineage: Eukaryota; Viridiplantae; Streptophyta; Magnoliopsida; Vitales; Vitaceae. The record is from RNAcentral.